UUUUGACUUUUCCAAACAAACAAAUGCAGAUAUGAUUGAUGGGAGAACUUACCUGCUCCCAACUUUUCAUUUCAGUGAUGGUAGCGGUUCCUUUUCUCCACUCCUUCAUUAACCAUCCGACUCCCUCUCUCUAAUCCUUACUUUCUCUUUCGUCUCGUCUUCUUCCUCAUCCUCACGAAGAAAGUUGCACUUUUUCUCUCUUCAAUUUUCUUUCUGAUAGACGACAACAAAAUAAAAAAAAAAGUUGGAAACCUCUCAGUUACCAGCACCAGAAAUGGCUUCCGCCGCCGCUCUCCCAGUAGUUACUGUUAUCCCUCUUGAGAAUGAAAUGGAGGCCGACGCCAACUCCCUCCCUCUGCCUGACGUCAUGAAAGCCCCAAUCCGCCCCGACAAGAUUUGAUCUUUGGGGAGGUUGGGUAAAUGGGUUGUUUUCCUUGUUUUGAUUCGAGAGUGGAGGAAAAGCUGAAUCCUCAGAAUGACAGCGAUGGUCCUAAAGAAGUCCACCCAGCUAUCCCUUCUAACUUCUCCAGAUUAUCUUAUGGAGCUGAUAGACUCAAAACAAGAAGCAACGUUGGGUCGAGAAAAGAAUCAUCAGGGCUAAAGGAUAUGCCUGAUGUGCAGAUUGCUGCACAAACAUUCACUUUCCGUGAGCUUGCUGCUGCAACAAACAAUUUCAGGCAAGAGUCUUUCUUAGGUGAAGGAGGAUUUGGACGAGUAUAUAAAGGGCAGCUUCCGUCGGGUCUCUUCCUUUUCCCAGAAAAGAAAUAUUUAAGGGCUUCUGAUUAUCCUAGAGAAUAUGAUGGAGCUUGCCUUCAGAUGAGACUAUCAUAUAGUCCUUGUGCCCACAUUUUUCUCUUUCUCGUCCAGUGGACAGAUUGUCACCUUGCUGGAAUUCUUGGUUUCCUCAGGAUCCUUAUUUAUAAGGCAUACGAAGAUGGUAAGACAUCCAUGUCCGUUCAUGAAGGGAAAGCUACUAUAAAGGAGUUUUAUAGUGCCUUUCUGCAACAUUCCUAGAGUCGAGGUGGCCCACGUGGACCGUUUGAAUUUGUUGAAGCUUGCCCUAGGAGGUCACGUUGGGAGGUUUAUUGUUUGGGCUAAAUCAGCAUUUGAGAAAUUGGAUGAGAUUUACGGGUUAUUUGAUAAGCCUUCCUUGGAGAAGAAGGGGUCUGUUUUGCCCAGGGCUAAGAUGGUGAAUGGUGAUUUGGCCAGAAUUAUCAACUCUGAUGAGGUGCUGGUGAUUUGGCCAGAAUUAUCAACUUUGACGAGGUGCAAUCUGUGGUGAGGCCAAUCAAGAAGGUGGUGAAGAGGGCACCAAUGAAGAAGAGCCCGCUGAAGAAUUUGAAUUGUCUGCUCAAGCUCAAUCCUUAUGCCAAGACUGCUAGGAGGAUGGCUCUCUUGGAUGAGACACAACAUGUUGAGGCUAAGAGGGAGAAACUGGCCAAGAAUAGGAGUCCAAUGACGAAGGAGGAGAUGUCUGCUGUAAAAGCUGCUGGAAAGUCGUGGUACAAAACAAUGAUCUCUAAUAGCGAUUAUGCUGAGUUCGAGAACUUCUCAAAGUGGUUGGGUGUGUCGCAGUGAUUGGUUUCACUUUAAAAGUCAGUCUGUUUUGUUUCAAGUCGGCUACUUGGUGCAUAAUCUCGAAAUUUCCUCCACCAUCGUCAUGCGGUUUUUUUUGGAGUAUGUGGAAGGCAAAUGAGUCUUUAAAGUUGCUGGCCCGCCUGGUGGUUUUGGAGAAAGUACCUCACGGAAGUAUUUCUAAGAAGGAUUUUUCAAGUUGUUUUGUAUUUCAAAAGUUCUCCCCUGCAAUUAAAUUUUUUACCAAACAAUUUAUUUGGAUUAACCUGGAUGUCAAAUACUCAAAAUCCUCUGUGGAAUCUAAUUCCAUGAAACUAAACUGAUUUUUGUGGGAGUUUUCGUACAUUUGAUCUCCUCUGCUGAUUGUAUCAGUGAUGUUGGAGUCUUUGAUUGGAUUUCAAGAAAUUGUAGGUUUAUGGUGUACUUGUAUACUAGAUCAUUUGGUAUAUAAUCUUGUUUUCAAGUUAAAUUGGUCCUAAUGACGGGCCAAUGUGAUUUUCAUGCUUAAAAGUCUUGUGUCAUUGAUGGCUCGAUAAUUUUUGGGAGUUUAGUAAGCUGUUGUAAGUAGCCUUUUUUUAGUGAUAACGGUAUUAUUCACUAUGGCAUUUUAAGAAUUGUACCUGACCACAUGGAUAUUUUCUCCUCCUGGUGGUUUGGUGAUUUUUCUUUUUUAAGUACCUGGAGGCUUUUUUUGAUUGAACUAUUUGAUGAUUUGACUUGUUGCUUAUGGUAUACGUUGGUUUGUUUUGACAGCCGUGUGUGUGGAAAAUCCCAUGGUAUUAUCAGAAAAGUAUGGUCUGAUGUGCUGCAGGCAAUGCUUCUACAGUAAUGCUAAGAAGAUUGGAUUCAUUAAGGUGGUUCAAGGUUUGCCCAAGACAAGGAUUUUCAAAUAUUAGAUUCUAAGCACCUACUUGAAAUAGUGAGAAGGAAUAUAAAGACUUGAAGUUGACAUCUCUAACAAGUAGAUAAAGCUGCAAGUCUUGUUCAAAGCAUAUAAGCAGUGAAGCAAGUCGGAUGGUAGGUUGUUUAGCUAAUGUAUAGGAUGCUAACAACAUGAUAUCUUUUAUUAUGAUGUUAUGUCCCACCAUUUUUCAUUGCAGCAAGAUGAUUGUUUAGGGAUUUUAUUCUCGUUUUGUAUCUCGAUAUGAUUGCAUAUUAUUUUAAAGUUCCUUUUAUGCAAAAAAAAUCCAAAACUACUAAAAGCUAAA
Non-coding RNA from Coffea arabica (coffee), 2783 nucleotides. The record is from RefSeq and is a predicted model, not a curated record. NCBI's taxonomy places the organism in Eukaryota, Viridiplantae, Streptophyta, Magnoliopsida, Gentianales, Rubiaceae.